UCGUUAUUUUGUGCACCAAAGCUCUCCAUACUGCACGAUUUUCCGCCUUCCUAAUAAUAGGCGCCUGUGUAGAUCCCUGGCAGGCCUUCUUUAUGUCCACCCAGCGGGUUGGUGGAUGUCCACUACC
This is a long non-coding RNA of Cydia amplana, 127 nucleotides long. RefSeq lists it as uncharacterized. Lineage: Eukaryota; Metazoa; Arthropoda; Insecta; Lepidoptera; Tortricidae. The record is from RefSeq and is a predicted model, not a curated record. The transcript has 3 exons.